This 1070-nucleotide long non-coding RNA is filed under the name Sus scrofa (pig). RNAcentral describes it as "lncRNA (ENSSSCG00070013420.1)". The record is from RNAcentral. Lineage: Eukaryota; Metazoa; Chordata; Mammalia; Artiodactyla; Suidae.
AGGCUCCAGGGCCCUUGGGGUCCCGGAGGGUCCAGCAGAAGGGUCUGUGUUUUGCCCGGGGUCCUGAGAGCGUGCUGGGGAUAGCAGGGGUGGAGUGCAGGUGUGCCCAUGGGCGCCCCGGGUCCAGGGCCCGCGAGCCGCUCUCGGGGCGGAGACCUUGCCCCCAGGGGCACGUCAGCGGUCCUGAGGUGAGGCUCCUGCAGAGCACUCUGGGCCGCGUGUGUCUCUCCCUGCGUGGGCAGGCAGUGUCGGUGGCCGGAGCGAGGGUGUUUUCCCAUCGGGGUGAGAGGGAGAGCCCCAGGGUGGGCCUGGGGGCGGAAUCGGACUCGGGGUUGGGGUGGACUCUUCUGAAGCUGGGAGGGGUGCGGGUGGGCAGGGCCUUAGGGAGCCUGAGGGAGGCGCGGUUCCUGGGGGAAGGGUGUGGCGAGGCGGCGGCAGCCCGCGUGGCGCUGUGGCGCCCCAGCGAAGGGGCAGUGCUGGCCACUCGUGUGGCCCUUUGGCUGCUGGCACCCAGUGAGAGGGGGGAGGCCAGGGACAGGUGGCAGCCAGGCUGCCCACAGGCCCUGGGCGGUGGGGGCCCGGCCCUGUGCCUUGGGCAGCCUGGCCCCUUGCUGAGGCGUGCUUGCGCGUGUCCGUUGUCGCCCUCACCCAGCUGCUGCGGCGGAGAGACGGAGGCCAGCGCGGGGAGCGGAAGCCGGAGCCUGUCGGGAGCGACCCCGGGAAGGCCAGUCCCUCCUGCCGGAGGGAGGCGUGUUGGCGUGCGGCCGGUGGCGGGAUCGAUGGCCACCUGCUGCUGCGGCGGAGAGACGGAGGCCAGCGCGGGGAGCGGAAGCCGGAGCCUGUCGGGAGCGACCCCGGGAAGGCCAGUCCCUCCUGCCGGAGGGAGGCGUGUUGGCGUGCGGCCGGUGGCGGGAUCGAUGGCCACCUGCUGCUGCGGCGGAGAAACGGAGGCCAGCGCGGGGAGCGGAAGCCGGAGCCUGUCGGGAGCGACCCCGGGAAGGCCAGUCCCUCCUGCCGGAGGGAGGCGUGUUGGCGUGCGGCCGGUGGCGGGAUCGAUGGCCACCUGGUAG